AAGUCGUAACAAGGUUUCCGUAGGUGAACCUGCGGAAGGAUCAUUAUUGAAUGAACUUGGUGUGGUUGUCGCUGGCCCUCUCGGGGGCAUGUGCACACUCACCAUCCUCAUCUCUCCACCUGUGCACCUCUUGUAGACUUGGAUUGACUUUCCGAGGCCACUCGGUCGGGAGGUCUGCUGGCACCUAGCUAGCUUUCCUUGCAUUUCCAGGUCUACGUUUUUCAUAUACCCCAAUUGUAUGUAACAGAAUGCAUCAUUAGGCCCUUGUGCCUAUAAACUUUAUACAACUUUCAGCAACGGAUCUCUUGGCUCUC
This 314-nucleotide unclassified non-coding RNA is filed under the name air metagenome. RNAcentral's name for it is "partial contains small subunit ribosomal RNA, internal transcribed spacer 1, and 5.8S ribosomal RNA". The stretch from base 1 to 46 matches the Rfam family "Eukaryotic small subunit ribosomal RNA", at positions 1786 to 1831 of the family's 1831-position model. The record is from RNAcentral.